CCUACGGGAGGCAGCAGUGGGGAAUAUUGGACAAUGGGGGGAACCCUGAUCGAGCCAUGCCGCGUGUGUGAAGAAGGCCCUCGGGUUGUAAAGCACUUUCAGUGAGGAAGAACGCCUGGUGGUUAAUACCCAUCAGGAAAGACAUCACUCACAGAAGAAGCACCGGCUAACUCCGUGCCAGCAGCCGCGGUAAUACGGAGGGUGCAGCGUUAAUCGGAAUUACUGGGCGUAAAGCGCGCGUAGGUGGCUUGAUAAGCCGGUUGUGAAAGCCCCGGGCUCAACCUGGGAACGGCAUCCGGAACUGUCAAGCUAGAGUGCAGGAGAGGAAGGUAGAAUUCCCGGUGUAGCGGUGAAAUGCGUAGAGAUCGGGAGGAAUACCAGUGGCGAAGGCGGCCUUCUGGACUGACACUGACACUGAGGUGCGAAAGCGUGGGUAGCAAACAGGAUUAGAUACCCUUGUAGUC
This 464-nucleotide ribosomal RNA is filed under the name Vreelandella stevensii. Its description in RNAcentral is "partial 16S ribosomal RNA". It matches the Rfam family "Bacterial small subunit ribosomal RNA", at positions 338 to 795 of the family's 1533-position model. Lineage: Bacteria; Pseudomonadati; Pseudomonadota; Gammaproteobacteria; Oceanospirillales; Halomonadaceae. The record is from RNAcentral.